GAUGAACGCUGGCGGCGUGCCUAAUACAUGCAAGUCGAGCGAACAGACGAGGAGCUUGCUCCUCUGACGUUAGCGGCGGACGGGUGAGUAACACGUGGAUAACCUACCUAUAAGACUGGGAUAACUUCAGGAAACCGGAGCUAAUACCGGAUAAUAUAUUGAACCGCAUGGUUCAAUAGUGAAAGACGGUUUUGCUGUCACUUAUAGAUGGAUCCGCGCCGCAUUAGCUAGUUGGUAAGGUAACGGCUUACCAAGGCAACGAUGCGUAGCCGACCUGAGAGGGUGAUCGGCCACACUGGAACUGAGACACGGUCCAGACUCCUACGGGAGGCAGCAGUAGGGAAUCUUCCGCAAUGGGCGAAAGCUUGACGGGGCAACGCCGCGUGAGUGAUGAAGGUCUUCGGAUCGUAAAACUCUGUUAUUAGGGAAGAACAAAUGUGUAAGUAACUAUGCACGUCUUGACGGUACCUAAUCAGAAAGCCACGGCUAACUACGUG
This 497-nucleotide ribosomal RNA is filed under the name uncultured bacterium. RNAcentral's name for it is "partial 16S ribosomal RNA". It matches the Rfam family "Bacterial small subunit ribosomal RNA", at positions 28 to 507 of the family's 1533-position model. The record is from RNAcentral.